This 237-nucleotide ribosomal RNA is filed under the name uncultured bacterium. RNAcentral's name for it is "partial 16S ribosomal RNA". It matches the Rfam family "Bacterial small subunit ribosomal RNA", at positions 112 to 334 of the family's 1533-position model. The record is from RNAcentral.
CGAACGUGGGUGACCUACCUCGAAGUGAGGGAUACCGGCGAGAAAUCGCCGACAAUCCCGCAUAGGUUUCUUUCUUUGAGAGAGGAGGGAAACAAAGCUUUUUUUCGUGAGAAGAGAGGCGCUUUGAGAUGGGCCCGCGGCCGAUUAGCUAGUUGGUGGGGUAAGAGCCUACCAAGGCGUCGAUCGGUAGCUGGUCUGAGAGGACGAUCAGCCACACUGGGAUUGAGAACGGCCCAG